GAAGGACAUCCACAGAGCUGGUCAGUCAAGAAUGAAACCUAUGCACCAAACUGAGAAAAGCUGUUGAUAGAGGAAUUUUAAAGAAGGAAUAGGGAGAGGACUACUUCUCUGUUUUUAGCUGGAAGUUCUAUCAUGUACAAAUGCUUUUGAUCACUACUUACAGCAUGUCCAGCAAUGAUGGCUUGAAAAUGGGAGAUUAUUGUAUGACAAGAAGUCCUAUGCAGGAGGAUUUUCUGGUUAUAACAACUGCUCUAUCAUGCAUCAAGGACAUAGGUUAUAUAUGUCUUUUCUGUCCUUCAUUCUCAGUGAUUUCACUACCCUAGAACCAAAAUGAACCAUGUUACACAAAUGAAGUUGGGAAAUUUCUUCGCUCCGUAUACGCACAUAUGUAGACAGCUCCAUAUCCCACAACCUCGUGAUAAUGAAAUCCCUCGCCUCUAGGAAACAUCACAGAAUAUCAGCUUGGGAACACUGUGUGUUUUGCAUGUCAAUCUUGUAAGCAUGAAGACCUACUUAUAGUAAGGUCAUAUGUGUUCUAUAAUGUAUUUGAAAGAUUUCUAACUUAUCACCUAUUUAUUCUUCUAUUGGGAUAUAAUUUACACACUAUAAAUUUUACCCUAUAAAGUAUACAUUUCAGUGGAUUUUAAUAUAUUCUGGCUUGCGUGACCAUUAUUGCUAUCUAAUUCUGUUAAGUUUUUCAUCACUCCCAGAAGAAAUCCCAUACCCAUUAGCUAUUAAUCCCCAUUCUCCUCUCCCCCUCAGGUUCUAAAACCACUAAUUUACUUUCUGUUCCUAUGGAUUUGCCUAUCCUGGAUAUUUCGUAUAAAUGGAAUUAUACAACUUGUGGCCUUUUGUGUCUGUCUUCUAUCACUUAGCGUGAUUUCAAGGUUAUCCACAUUGCAGCAUGUAUCACUACCUCGUUCCUUUUUAUGGCUGAAUAGUACUCCAUCAUAUGGCUAUGCCACAUUUUGUUUAUCCAUUCAUCCAUUGAUAAAUAUUUAUAUUGUUUCCACUAUUUGGCUAUUAUGAAUAAUGCUACUAUGCAAAUUUGUGUGUAAGUUUUCGUGAGGACGUAUGUUUUCAUUCUUCUUGGAUAUAUACCUUGUAGCAGAAUUAGUCAACCUUUUGAGGAACUACCAGACUGUUUUCAAAGUGACGGCUAUAUUUUAUAUUUUCACCAGCAAUGUAUGAGGAUUCUAAUUUCUCCACAUCCUUAUCAAAACUUACUGUUGUCUGACUUUUGAUUUUAGCCAUCCUAGUAGAUAUUAACUGGUAUUUUACUGAGGUUUUGAUUUGCAUUUCUCUAAUGACUAAAAAUUUUGAGUAUUUGCAAAUUGUAUAUUAACAAGGUCUACUACCCAAAUAUAUAUAGAAUGAUUAAAAAUUGACAAAUAUUUGAAUAGACAUUUCUCUAAAAUUUGAAUGUCUUUUUUGGAGAAAUGUCUAUUCAAAUGUUU
RNAcentral lists this long non-coding RNA (1457 nucleotides) under Homo sapiens (human). RNAcentral's name for it is "HSALNT0211468". The record is from RNAcentral. Lineage: Eukaryota; Metazoa; Chordata; Mammalia; Primates; Hominidae.